RNAcentral lists this ribosomal RNA (1211 nucleotides) under Ascomycota sp. L327. RNAcentral's name for it is "eukaryotic LSU rRNA". The stretch from base 561 to 1211 matches the Rfam family "Eukaryotic large subunit ribosomal RNA", at positions 1 to 616 of the family's 3401-position model. The record is from RNAcentral. Lineage: Eukaryota; Fungi; Ascomycota.
AGGGAUAAAAUGUAGCAAGUUCCCGUAGGUGACCGCGGAAGGAUCAUUAAAGAGAGCCUAAAAAACUCCCUAAACCCCCAUGUGAACCCUUACCUUUAAGGCCGUCACCCAGUGGCGGCCGACCCGUUGCCUCGGCGCGUCUCCCAGGGCGCGCCAGAGGAUCCGAACCCCUAAACUUUAUUUUUUUAUAGUAUCUCUGAGGCCUAACGGCAAUCUUAACAACUUUCAACCAACGGAUCUCUUGGCUCUGGCAUCGAUGAAGAACGCAGCGAAAUGCGAUAAGUAUUGUGAAUUGCAGAAUCCAGUGAAUCAUCGAAUCUUUGAACGCACAUUGCGCCCGCCGGCAUUCCGGCAGGGCAUGCCUGUUCGAGCGUCAUUUCAACCCUCAAAUCCUCCUGGAUUUGGUGAUGAGGCGUCUCCUAUCCUCUCUGCUUCGAGAGAGGGAGAGGCCUUCAAAUUUAUAGGCGGGUCUUUUAGGACUCUCAGCGCAGUAAAACAUGCUAUCGCUGGGUCCGGACUAUGGGAUUCUCCAGCCUUUAAACCUACCCUAACAAAAAGGUUGACCUCGGAUCAGGUAGGAAUACCCGCUGAACUUAAGCAUAUCAAUAAGCGGAGGAAAAGAAACCAACAGGGAUUGCCUUAGUAACGGCGAGUGAAGCGGCAACAGCUCAAAUUUGAAAUCUGGCCCUCUUUCAGGGGGUCCGAGUUGUAAUUUGCAGAGGAUGCUUUCGGCGAGGCGCUGACCGAGUCCCCUGGAAUGGGGCGCCACAGAGGGUGAGAGCCCCGUAUGAUCAGAUGCCGAGCUGGUGUAAAGCUCCUUCGACGAGUCGAGUAGUUUGGGAAUGCUGCUCUAAAUGGGAGGUAAAUUUCUUCUAAAAGCUAAAUACCGGCCAGAGACCGAUAGCGCACAAGUAGAGUGAUCGAAAGAUGAAAAGCACUUUGAAAAGAGAGUUAAAAAGCACGUGAAAUUGUUGAAAGGGAAGCGCCCAUGACCAGACCUGAUCUCAGGGGAUCACCCCGCCGUUUCUCGGCGGUCCACUCCCCUGGUGUUUUCAGGCCAGCAUCGGGUUUUCUCCGGGGGGAUAAAAGCGCCGGGAACGUGGCUCCUCUCGGGGAAGUGUUAUAGCCCGGCGUAUAAUGUCUCGGGGGGGGAACCGAGGAACCGCGCCUAGUGCAAGGAUGGUGUGAUGGUCCCCGGAACCUUUUUAAAA